GGUUAAGUUAGAAAGGGCGCACGGUGGAUGCCUUGGCACUAGGAGCCGAUGAAGGACGGGACGAACACCGAUAUGCUUCGGGGAGCUGUAAGCAAGCUUUGAUCCGGAGAUUUCCGAAUGGGGAAACCCACUGCUCGUAAUGGAGUAGUAUCCAUACUUGAAUACAUAGAGUAUGAGAAGGCAUACCCGGGGAACUGAAACAU
RNAcentral lists this ribosomal RNA (203 nucleotides) under Bacillus pumilus. RNAcentral's name for it is "partial 23S ribosomal RNA". It matches the Rfam family "Bacterial large subunit ribosomal RNA", at positions 1 to 201 of the family's 2925-position model. Lineage: Bacteria; Bacillati; Bacillota; Bacilli; Caryophanales; Bacillaceae. RNAcentral also lists the same sequence under 1 other name. The record is from RNAcentral.